Small nuclear RNA from Camelus dromedarius (Arabian camel), 97 nucleotides. Lineage: Eukaryota; Metazoa; Chordata; Mammalia; Artiodactyla; Camelidae. The record is from Ensembl.
UCACUUUGGCAAUGCAUAUACUAAAAUUGGAACAAUACAGAGAAGAUUAGCAUGGCCCCACGCAAGGAUGGCACACAAAUUCUUGAAGCAUAUAUUU